CGUCUAUAUACGUAUAGCAUAUCAAUAAGCGGAGGAAAAGAAACUAACUAGGAUUCCCUCAGUAACGGCGAGCGAAGCGGGAAGAGCUCAAAUUUGAAAUCUUCAAGGUUCUACCUUGACGAAUUGUAGUUUAAAGAAGUGUUUUCUGUUGGAUGUUUUGGUAAAAGUUCUUUGGAAUAGGACAUCAUAGAGGGUGAGAAUCCCGUAUUUGACCACUACUUCCAGCUUUGUGAUACACUUUCAAAGAGUCGGAUUGUUUGGGAAUGCAGUCCAAAAUGGGUGGUAAAUUUCAUCUAAAGCUAAAUACUGGCGAGAGACCGAUAGCGAACAAGUACCGUGAGGGAAAGAUGAAAAGAACUUUGAAAAGAGAGUUAAACAGUACGUGAAAUUGUCAAAAGGGAAGCGUUUGACACCAGUGUUGUUUUCUCGAAAAUCAAUUAAAAAAGAUUGGAUUUUGUGUUGUAUUGACUUUAUCAGCUUUCUGCACUCUUUUCUUGUCUUUUUUAAUGCACUUUAUCGUUUAACAAGUCAACAUCAAUUUCUUUUGUUGUAAAAGGGUCAUUGGAAGGUGGCUUUCUUUUCGGAGAAAGUGUUUAUAGCCUUUGACUUCUGCAAUCGGAGAGACUGAGGUCUGCAGCGUAGAUCCUUCGUGGAUUAGAUGCAUUUGUGCUAAGUUAUAGCCUUUUAUAGACAACAUGUUGACUAUGAUUAGUCAUGUAGCUUACUCGCUUAUGUAAUUUUACCUACGCUUAGGAUGUUGACGAUCAGCUGAGCGCG
Molecule: ribosomal RNA, 777 nt
Filed under: uncultured Neocallimastigales
Lineage: Eukaryota; Fungi; Neocallimastigomycota; Neocallimastigomycetes; Neocallimastigales
Description: partial large subunit ribosomal RNA
Rfam family: Eukaryotic large subunit ribosomal RNA
Source: RNAcentral